This 395-nucleotide ribosomal RNA is filed under the name uncultured bacterium. RNAcentral describes it as "partial 16S ribosomal RNA". It matches the Rfam family "Bacterial small subunit ribosomal RNA", at positions 523 to 918 of the family's 1533-position model. The record is from RNAcentral.
AUACGUAGGUGACAAGCGUUAUCCGGAUUUACUGGGCGUAAAGGGCGUGUAGGCGGUCUUGCAAGUCAGAAGUGAAAUUCCUGAGCUCAACUCGGGCGCUGCUUCUGAAACUGCAGGACUUGAGUGCUGGAGGGGAUAGCGGAAUUCCUAGUGGAGCGGUAAAAUGCGCAGAUAUUAGGAAGAACACCGGUGGCGAAGGCGGCUAUCUGGACAGUAACUGACGCUGAGGCGCGAAAGCGUGGAGAACAAACAGGAUUAGAUGCCCUGGUAGUCCACGCCGUAAACGAUGAAUGCUAGGUGUGGGUGUCGAGAGGCAUCCGUGCCGGAGUUAACGCGAUAAGCAUUCCGCCUGGGGAGUACGAUCGCAAGAUUGAAACUCAAAGGAAUUGACGGGG